RNAcentral lists this ribosomal RNA (497 nucleotides) under uncultured bacterium. RNAcentral's name for it is "partial 16S ribosomal RNA". It matches the Rfam family "Bacterial small subunit ribosomal RNA", at positions 28 to 507 of the family's 1533-position model. The record is from RNAcentral.
GAUGAACGCUGGCGGCGUGCCUAAUACAUGCAAGUCGAGAGAACGGACGAGAAGCUUGCUUCUCUGAUGUUAGCGGCGGACGGGUGAGUAACACGUGGAUAACUUACCUAUAAGACUGGGAUAACUUCGGGAAACCGGAGCUAAUACCGGAUAAUAUUUUGAACCGCAUGGUUCAAAAGUGAAAGACGGUCUUGCUGUCACUUAUAGAUGGAUCCGCGCUGCAUUAGCUAGUUGGUAAGGUAACGGCUUACCAAGGCAACGAUGCAUAGCCGACCUGAGAGGGUGAUCGGCCACACUGGAACUGAGACACGGUCCAGACUCCUACGGGAGGCAGCAGUAGGGAAUCUUCCGCAAUGGGCGAAAGCCUGACGGAGCAACGCCGCGUGAGUGAUGAAGGUCUUCGGAUCGUAAAACUCUGUUAUUAGGGAAGAACAUAUGUGUAAGUAACUGUGCACAUCUUGACGGUACCUAAUCAGAAAGCCACGGCUAACUACGUG